Long non-coding RNA from Camelus dromedarius (Arabian camel), 1217 nucleotides. RefSeq lists it as uncharacterized. Lineage: Eukaryota; Metazoa; Chordata; Mammalia; Artiodactyla; Camelidae. The transcript is spliced from 6 exons. The record is from RefSeq and is a predicted model, not a curated record.
CGGAGGCGAGACCUCCCUCUUCUCACCUGAGUAAAGCUGGGCUGGGCCUGGCCACUCGCAGGUAUCCACACCAGGAACCGUUUUAGCCAGCCUGGGGCUGCUUUUGGAGUCGCAGCUGCUUCCGCCUUCUCUCCCGAGAAUGAGUCAGUUGCUGACAGACUCCUAGGAUCUCUCACCAUCUUCCUGUUGCCCCUUCCCCUCUGAAGAUCAAAGCUCACCUCAAGAGAACCUCCAGAAGGAAGAAAUAGCCAGCGGAUCCCCCAGGGCCAGGCAGGAAAAGCAAGUAAACAAGUGAUUGACGCACUUUGUAGACAAGCUGGAGGGGCCGCCAUGCAGUCUCUGCUGGGGAUGGAAAAACUGAGACGGGGGGAGCAGAGACUUACAUAAUCACACACCUCGAGAGAAGCAGAGUCAUCUCUGGAAUGCAGGUCUCAUGGCCGCCAGGCCCACCCUACACAGCGCCUGGGUUCAGUCAGCCUGGAGGCAGAGGAAUGAAGAGUUUGACAUAUGUAACCUCAGCAGCUCGAAGUGAACAGGUCACAUCUCCAGCAACGGAGCUCACUCUCUUUUGCCCCUGCCUUUGCUAGAUGUCUCUGAUGGGAGGGGAUUCGAACUGUGAGGCUGCUGUGUCCCCUGCCCUCCACCUGGUCACCACAGACCCUGGCAGAGAAGAUGGGGCACUAGAGUUCCACUUUACUAGAAGCCCCAGAGCCUUCCCGGCUGAGUUUGAGAACUCCUCCUGGGCAGACGGAUUUCACUGAGAUUUUACUCUGAAAUGGCCCCAUUGUGCUCCGGGUGGCGCCACGGAGGUGGGAGCAGCGCGGUGAGGAGGCUGCGGUCUGAGCCUCCGAGCUAUGAAGCUGGACACUGCCUUCUCCACCCUGGCAGAGAAUGGGCUGGCUUACCAACAGAGAGGAUUACACAGCUGAGGCAGGGGAUUAAGUGCAAGUCUGAACACUGAACGUCACCAACAUCAGGUGUUCCAGGCAGCCUACGAGAGACUCAGCAAAGACAGGUAAUUUGAAUUGAAUGGAUCGUGAUGUCAACACCCCAGACGGAGCAGCUCAGCUGGCCAGAGCUGCAGGUGAAGGAAUCUAAGAACGAGGAGGAAGUUUAACAUAACUGCAGGUAAACACAAAUUUCAAUGCAGAAUGAAAACACAGGCAAGGAUGGAUUGGCAGGAGAUGCCAGAAACCCAGAUCAGACUGGCCCUCUGA